This is a long non-coding RNA of Ictalurus punctatus (channel catfish), 365 nucleotides long. NCBI's taxonomy places the organism in Eukaryota, Metazoa, Chordata, Actinopteri, Siluriformes, Ictaluridae. The record is from Ensembl.
AGUGAGUGUGUGAAUGAGUGUGUGAGUGAAUGAGUGUGAGUGAAUGAGUCUGUGAGUGAGUGUGUGAGUGAAUGAGUGUGAGUGUGAGUGUGUGAGUGAGUGAGUGUGUGGAAUGAGUGUGAGUGAGUGAGUGUGAGUGAGUGUGUGAAUGAGUGUGAGUGAGUGUGUGAGUGAGUGAGUGCGUGUGUGAGUGAGUGAGCGAGCGUGUGAGUGAGUGAGCGUGUGAGUGAGUGUGUGUGUGAGUGAGCGAGUGUGUGAUGGCGAGCGUGUGUGAGUGAGCGAGCGUGUGAGUGAGUGUGUGUGUGAGUGAGCGAGCGUGUGUGGAUGUAUUCAAGUGACUGAGUGAGUGUUUGACUAAAAUGGCA